CGGGCGGGCGGUCUUGCGGGUGAGAUCGCGCGGUCCUCGGGUGACAGCGCGGGUGGCCCCGGGUGGGUGGGCGCGGCGGCUCGGCGCCGCCGCGCUCGCC
RNAcentral lists this transfer RNA (100 nucleotides) under Micromonospora lutea. RNAcentral's name for it is "tRNA-Pro". The record is from RNAcentral. Lineage: Bacteria; Bacillati; Actinomycetota; Actinomycetes; Micromonosporales; Micromonosporaceae.